RNAcentral lists this ribosomal RNA (279 nucleotides) under uncultured bacterium. Its description in RNAcentral is "partial small subunit ribosomal RNA". It matches the Rfam family "Bacterial small subunit ribosomal RNA", at positions 26 to 290 of the family's 1533-position model. The record is from RNAcentral.
AGAAUCAACGCUGGCGGCGUGCCUAACACAUGCAAGUCGAACGCGAAGGAGAUCUUCGGAUUUCUGGAGAGUGGCGCACGGGUGAGUAACACGUGGGUAAUCUGCCUUUGGGUGGGGAAUAACGAUCCGAAAGGGUCGCUAAUACCGCAUAACGCAGCGGCACCGCAUGGUGACAGUUGUUAAAGGGGGGAUCGAAAGACCUCUCGCCUGAAGAGGAGCCCGCGCCCGAUUAGCUAGUUGGUGAGGUAACGGCUCACCAAGGCUUCGAUCGGUAGCCGG